RNAcentral lists this long non-coding RNA (685 nucleotides) under Mus pahari (shrew mouse). Its description in RNAcentral is "lncRNA (MGP_PahariEiJ_G0006160.1)". Lineage: Eukaryota; Metazoa; Chordata; Mammalia; Rodentia; Muridae. The record is from RNAcentral.
AAGAUCCAUUUGUCUAUCUGCUUGUUUGUCUGUCUGUCUAGAUGGAUGGAUGAAUGAAUCAAGCAAACUCUACUACAAACAAAAUUUGACAACUAGGCCAUUUGAAAGCCUUAUUUCCUGCACUUAACUAUGGGCUCCCCACUCAACUGUUUCUCUGCUGGAACUUGUUGUCACCAUCAAGACCUGGACCUCUCAACUUCAACUGAUCGUCUUCAAAUGUUGCAAGAUGCCCAGUAAACCUCUACCCUGGUACCAACAAGCAAAACAAAGGAUGAAAACGCUCACUUUCCAGAAGCAAACAGAAUGCAAAAUCUCUCCGUUCCUAGAAAUGUCAAAGCUCUAGAAAUGAGUGUCUAUUCUCCCUAAAUCCCUAGGUACCUGGCCAGGUUUAGCUCUUUCUUUACGAUGUCUGGUCCCCAGAAAAAAAAAAAAAAAAAAAAAAAAAAAGUCUGCCAGCUUUUCACAGAAACCUUCCAUGGUUGUUCCUGUAACCUCAACUACUCUAGAUCCAUCGAUUCUAAUAAGUCUCCUUUUUCCAUAGUAUCUGUGAAUUAUGCCUCAGCUGGAUAUGUUAACUAAUGGGCUUGACAUUCCUAGUUAUGUUGAAUGAAAUCAGAAGUGUAGCGUUUUGGUGACUUAAGGUGACAAACUUUCCAUGCCUGUCACACCAGAAGACCCAAGAGCU